This 858-nucleotide ribosomal RNA is filed under the name uncultured bacterium. Its description in RNAcentral is "bacterial SSU rRNA". It matches the Rfam family "Bacterial small subunit ribosomal RNA", at positions 59 to 905 of the family's 1533-position model. The record is from RNAcentral.
CAGUCGAACGGAGUUAUCAUUUCAGAAGCAAUUAGCUUGCUGAGAGUGCACGUGAGGAUAACUUAGUGGCGGACGGGUGAGUAACGCGUGGGGAACCUGCCCUGCACCGGGGGAUAACACCUGGAAACAGGUGCUAAUACCGCAUAAGCGCACGAGGCCGCAUGGCCAGGUGUGAAAAACUAAGGUGGUGCAGGAUGGACCCGCGUCUGAUUAGCUUGUUGGUAGGGUAACGGCCUACCAAGGCGACGAUCAGUAGCCGGCCUGAGAGGGUGAACGGCCACAUUGGGACUGAGACACGGCCCAAACUCCUACGGGAGGCAGCAGUGGGGAAUAUUGGACAAUGGGGGAAACCCUGAUCCAGCGACGCCGCGUGAGUGAAGAAGUAUUUCGGUAUGUAAAGCUCUAUCAGCAGGGAAGAAAAUGACGGUACCUGACUAAGAAGCCCCGGCUAACUACGUGCCAGCAGCCGCGGUAAUACGUAGGGGGCAAGCGUUAUCCGGAUUUACUGGGUGUAAAGGGAGCGUAGACGGCAUAGCAAGUCUGAUGUGAAAGAUCGGGGCUCAACCCCGGGCCUGCAUUGGAAACUGUUAAGCUGGAGUACAGGAGAGGUAAGCGGAAUUCCUAGUGUAGCGGUGAAAUGCGUAGAUAUUAGGAGGAACACCAGUGGCGAAGGCGGCUUACUGGACUGUAGCUGACGUUGAGGCUCGAAAGCGUGGGGAGCAAACAGGAUUAGAUACCCUGGUAGUCCACGCCGUAAACGAUGAUUACUAGGUGUCGGUGGGCAUGGGCCCAUCGGUGCCGCAGCCAACGCAGUAAGUAAUCCACCUGGGGAGUACGUUCGCAAGAAUGAAACUCAAA